UACAGAGGUGGCAAGCGUUGUUCGGAAUUACUGGGCGUAAAGGGCGCGUAGGCGGCCUUCUAAGUCAGACGUGAAAUCCCCAGGCUUAACUUGGGAACUGCGUCUGAUACUGGGAGGCUUGAGUGCGGGAGAGGGAUGUGGAAUUCCAGGUGUAGCGGUGAAAUGCGUAGAUAUCUGGAGGAACACCGGUGGCGAAGGCGGCAUCCUGGACCGAGAUUGACGCUGAGGCGCGAAAGCCAGGGGAGCAAACGGG
RNAcentral lists this ribosomal RNA (253 nucleotides) under uncultured bacterium. RNAcentral describes it as "partial 16S ribosomal RNA". It matches the Rfam family "Bacterial small subunit ribosomal RNA", at positions 524 to 776 of the family's 1533-position model. The record is from RNAcentral.